ACGGCUCAGUAACACGUGGAUAACCUGCCCAAGGGUCCGGGAUAACCCCGGGAAACUGGGGAUAAUACCGGAUGGAUCACUAGUGCUGGAAUGCUUGGUGGUCGAAAGGUAACGCCUUUGGAUGGGUCUGCGGCGGAUUAGGUUGACGCCGGUGUAACGUACCGGCGUGCCUGUAAUCCGUACGGGUUGUGGGAGCAAGAGCCCGGAGAUGGAUUCUGAGACACGAAUCCAGGCCCUACGGGGCGCAGCAGGCGCGAAAACUCUACAAUGCAGGCAACUGCGAUAGGGGGACAUCGAGUGGCAUCCACCUUGGGUGCCUGUCCAACCGUCUAAAAAACGGUUGUUAGCAAGGGCCGGGUAAGACCGGUGCCAGCCGCCGCGGUAAUACCGGCGGCUCGAGUGGUGGCCGAUAUUAUUGAGUCUAAAGGGUCCGUAGCCGGCUUUGCAAGUCCCCUGGGAAAUCCAGCGGCUUAACCGUUGGGCUUUCAUGGGAUACUACAUUGCUUGGGACUGGGAGAGGUAGGAGGUACUCGGGGGGUAGGGGUGAAAUCCUGUAAUCCUCCGGGGACCACCGGUGGCGAAGGCGUCCUACCAGAACAGGUCCGACGGUGAGGGACGAAAGCUAGGGGCACGAACCGGAUUAGAUACCCGGGUAGUCCUAGCCGUAAACGAUGCCCGCUAGGUGUAACGACGGUCGUGAAUCGUCGUGGUGCCGUAGGGAAGCCGCGAAGCGGGCUACUUGGGAAGUACGGCCGCAAGGCUGAAACUUAAAGGAAUUGGGGGGGAGCAC
Molecule: ribosomal RNA, 790 nt
Filed under: uncultured archaeon
Lineage: Archaea
Description: bacterial SSU rRNA
Rfam family: Archaeal small subunit ribosomal RNA
Source: RNAcentral